AUUAUUUCAUUCAUUUAGGUUUAAAUCAUGUUUGUACUUGUGAAUGUAUGUCCAACAUUUGUAAGUUAUUGAAUUAACUUUUAAUCUAGGUAGAGGUAAUAGUAAAUAGACAUAAAAUCUAAAUGGUGCAUAUCAUGUCGAUUUCGGAAGAUAAUUGUUGUAUGCAUAAACCGUGUAAAUGCCUAUGUUUUAAUUAAAAUAAGUUUAAUGAAUUUUCAUAUUUCCACGAAUCUCUUGCAAUAUUCUUUUUAUGAUUUCUAAUAAAUCCUUGUUGAAGUUAAAUAUUUUAUUUUAGUCUAUUCAUGUUAUGUUAUAUCAUGCCUUGUAUUUAUUUUCUAUUGUGAUCAUUUCUACAAUGUAUGUUGUUUUGUUUUGUGGGUAUUUGAACACUGAUUUCAUCUUUAAUUUAAAUUGAAAAAUUCUAUCAAAAUUAUUCUUCUUAUUUUGUUUAACCAAAUUGAUAAAAAUUAACUUUACAAAAAAUUACCACACAGCCUCUAUGGAGACGAUAACUCUUUUACUUACUACUUAUUACUUGUAUGACCAUGUACACUUGCACGUAAUCAUGCGAUGAUACAACAAGUCACAAACAACACAUUUAAGCACUUACAUAAACAUAAGCGAUCUUAGGUUCGUACAUGCUUAGGAUAUUUUAUUAGUAUUUAUAGAACAUUGCAUCAUGAAGCUUGGAUUGUGCUUAAAUGUUAUUAUAUUACUUUUACUUGUGGGUGGAAUGGAUUUGUUUGUUUUUGAAUGGCAGGUGUAAAAUGAGGAAAAUAAAUGAAGGAGUGAAGUUUUGUAAUGGUAGAAGGUUGGACGAAUUGUCAACAUCAAUGCCAUGGCAAUUCUAGGAAGACGCCGAAUCAACACUCAAUUCGUGUCAAUCUUAGCUAACUAUACUUGUACCAGAAAGAUCUACCUGAAAAAGAGAGAGGAAAAAUUGUCUGCUGAGAGGGGGAUCUACCCUAUAAAAAGUGAGGAAGAUCUAGAAGAGAGGAGAGGAGAGGAGAGAGAAAAUAAGCAUUUCUCAGAGGAAAGAUCUUGAGGUAAAAAUAGAGGGUAGCAGUAGUUGUUGAAAAGCAGAGCAGAACGCGAGGAAGUGGAUGAAGGCAGUCAACUAGGCCUUUACGAAACAUUGCAGCACCGCAAUUGAAGAUUAUCAAAAGCUCAAUCGGGUUGGAAGCUCGUCGAAGAUCUAUCACACUAUUCAACCGUUAUAUUUGUAAAUUUUUGAUGUAUUGGUCAUGGUUAUAAUGACAAAUAUAGGGGGAAUUAUGCCUAAUGUUUAGUAAUGUUUAUGGGAUGUAACGUUGCUUUGAGCUUGUGGAACUUAUGAUAUUUGGAUGUCUUGAUGGUUGAUGUUUUUAUGGCUAGAUUGAUCAGGUUUGGAAUAACAAAAUUUGGUAUGUGUUGGUAUGAUGAUAAUGUGGCCAAGUUGAGUUAUACUUUGAGGUAGAUAUGAGCUAUUUGUAAUGAUAUAAAUGUGGUCAAAUAUGGUACGUUUAGUAUGGAAA
Molecule: long non-coding RNA, 1514 nt
Organism: Gossypium raimondii (Peruvian cotton)
Lineage: Eukaryota; Viridiplantae; Streptophyta; Magnoliopsida; Malvales; Malvaceae
Exons: 2
Source: RefSeq, a predicted model, not a curated record